Molecule: ribosomal RNA, 497 nt
Filed under: uncultured bacterium
Lineage: Bacteria
Description: partial 16S ribosomal RNA
Rfam family: Bacterial small subunit ribosomal RNA
Source: RNAcentral
GACGAACGCUGGCGGCGUGCCUAAUACAUGCAAGUUGAGCGAUGAAGAUUGGUGCUUGCACCAAUUUGAAGAGCAGCGAACGGGUGAGUAACGCGUGGGGAAUCUGCCUUUGAGCGGGGGACAACAUUUGGAAACGAAUGCUAAUACCGCAUAAUAACUUUAAACAUAAGUUUUAAGUUUGAAAGAUGCAAUUGCAUCACUCAAAGAUGAUCCCGCGUUGUAUUAGCUAGUUGGUGAGGUAAAGGCUCACCAAGGCGAUGAUACAUAGCCGACCUGAGAGGGUGAUCGGCCACAUUGGGACUGAGACACGGCCCAAACUCCUACGGGAGGCAGCAGUAGGGAAUCUUCGGCAAUGGACGAAAGUCUGACCGAGCAACGCCGCGGGAGUGAAGAAGGUUUUCGGAUCGUAAAACUCGGUUGGUAGAGAAGAACGUUGGUGAGAGUGGAAAGCUCAUCAAGUGACGGUAACUACCCAGAAAGGGACGGCUAACUACGUG